GAUGAACGCUGGCGGCGUGCCUAAUACAUGCAAGUCGAGCGAACGGACGAGAAGCUUGCUUCUCUGAUGUUAGCGGCGGACGGGUGAGUAACACGUGGAUAGCCUACCUAUAAGACUGGGAUAACUUCGGGAAACCGGAGCUAAUACCGGAUGAUAUUUUGAACCGCAUGGUUCAAAAGUGAAAGACGGUCUUGCUGUCACUUAUAGAUGGAUCCGCGCUGCAUUAGCUAGUUGGUAAGGUAACGGCUUACCAAGGCAACGAUGCAUAGCCGACCUGAGAGGGUGAUCGGCCACACUGGAACUGAGACACGGUCCAGACUCCUACGGGAGGCAGCAGUAGGGAAUCUUCCGCAAUGGGCGAAAGCCUGACGGAGCAACGCCGCGUGAGUGAUGAAGGUCUUCGGAUCGUAAAACUCUGUUAUUAAGGAAGAACAUAUGUGUAAGUAACUGUGCACAUCUUGACGGUACCUAAUCAGAAAGCCACGGCUAACUACGUG
This 497-nucleotide ribosomal RNA is filed under the name uncultured bacterium. RNAcentral's name for it is "partial 16S ribosomal RNA". It matches the Rfam family "Bacterial small subunit ribosomal RNA", at positions 28 to 507 of the family's 1533-position model. The record is from RNAcentral.